GGGACCCCCUGGCAAAAGACGGGGUCCCCUCUUCCCCAAGCGGCAAGCCAUCCCCCUUCCUCCCUUCCCUCCCCCCAGUCUCGGAGAUCAGAGAAGCACCGACUGGGAGAGCUUCGGCAUUUUUGUCAUCCUUUUUAUGCCUGGGUCUUUCCCAGUAGGAGAAAGGAUGGCACCGCAACCUGAGGGCUUGAGGACGGACUUUUAAGAAGAACUUCCCAAAAGAGUUUGAUAAGAAUGGGGUGGACCCAUGGGGCCUGCAGUCACUCUGGCCGACCCUUCGACCCUCAAGAACCUCCAUCAGCGCCAGGGAGCCUGGGCUCGGAACCGCCUCUGCCCCAGCAGCGCCCUCUUUGUGCCCUUCCCUCCCCUUCCUGCGCCCCAAUUUCCAGAGGGUCUAAACACACUGACCCCCAAAGAGAAGCCCUGCAGAGCAGAGACCUCACCCUGAGAAGCCUGCACCCCCUGGACAUCUUGACUCCAUCCUUCAGCAUCCUCUCCCUCACUGUAUCCUGA
This 513-nucleotide long non-coding RNA is filed under the name Bos mutus (wild yak). RNAcentral's name for it is "lncRNA (ENSBMUG00000014159.1)". The record is from RNAcentral. Lineage: Eukaryota; Metazoa; Chordata; Mammalia; Artiodactyla; Bovidae.